UACGGAGGGUGCAAGCGUUGCUCGGAAUUAUUGGGCGUAAAGGGUAGGUAGGUGGUCUCAUUUGUCUGGGGUGGAAGCCUUGAGCUUAACUCAAGAAGUGCCCCAGAAACGGUGAGACUAGAGUCCUGGAGAGGGUCGUGGAAUUCCCGGUGUAGCGGUGAAAUGCGUAGAGAUCGGGGGGAACACCAGAGGCGAAAGCGGCGACCUGGACAGGCACUGACACUCAACUACGAAAGCGUGGGGAGCAAACAGG
Molecule: ribosomal RNA, 253 nt
Filed under: uncultured prokaryote
Description: partial 16S ribosomal RNA
Rfam family: Bacterial small subunit ribosomal RNA
Source: RNAcentral